RNAcentral lists this ribosomal RNA (495 nucleotides) under uncultured bacterium. Its description in RNAcentral is "bacterial SSU rRNA". It matches the Rfam family "Bacterial small subunit ribosomal RNA", at positions 903 to 1397 of the family's 1533-position model. The record is from RNAcentral.
AAAGGAAUUGACGGGGACCCGCACAAGCGGUGGAGCAUGUGGUUUAAUUCGACGCAACGCGAAGAACCUUACCAGGCCUUGACAUCGUGAUGACCGCUCUAGAGAUAGAGUUUUCCCUUCGGGGACAUCAUAGACAGGUGGUGCAUGGUUGUCGUCAGCUCGUGUCGUGAGAUGUUGGGUUAAGUCCCGCAACGAGCGCAACCCUUGUCGUUAGUUACUACCAUUAAGUUGAGGACUCUAGCGAGACUGCCAGUGAUAAACUGGAGGAAGGUGGGGAUGACGUCAAAUCAUCAUGCCCCUUAUGGCCUGGGCUACACACGUGCUACAAUGGCUAGAACAAAGAGAAGCGAAGCAGUGAUGUGAAGCAAAUCUCAAAAACCUAGUCUCAGUUCGAAUUGUAGGCUGCAACUCGCCUACAUGAAGUCGGAAUCGCUAGUAAUCGUGAAUCAGCAUGUCACGGUGAAUACGUUCCCGGGUCUUGUACACACCGCCCGU